Molecule: non-coding RNA, 154 nt
Organism: Coffea arabica (coffee)
Lineage: Eukaryota; Viridiplantae; Streptophyta; Magnoliopsida; Gentianales; Rubiaceae
Source: RefSeq, a predicted model, not a curated record
AAGCGGCCGUGACAGCGACAUCUCUUAUCAACGGCUCAUUCCCACUCUAGCAGCGACAUCUCAUUCCCGUUCCUACAAUAGCAUUUCCAACAAGGGUGAAGAUUCCUUAAGUAUUUCCAGAGCACCAUUGAACCUUGGAGGUGAUCUAGAAGUG